GGGUCAGGAGGCACCAAUUCCAAGAGCUCAUUUGAGGGUUGGCAGGGAAGGUUAGUGGAUUUUGCUAGAGAUCUUUGUGUACUUCUGAGGCUUGCUGAAGGGGUCCAAACCUGACUAAGAGCUGAACACACAUGAAAUGAUCCUUCACCUAGCAAUGACUCUUUCCAGUUUUCAAAGAUAUUCACUGCACGUUUCUGGAACUCCUCUCUCCCUGCAGCCGUCUUAGUGAGAUGCUUUAAAGGACCAUUGUUCAAAGAUAUUUUAAUAGAAUGUUGUAACCAAACAGCAACAAAAUCAGGAUCUUUGAUAUCACUGGAGUACCUCAGCAACUGAGAAUGAAGAGUGAGAUGCUUGGCAUGGGUGUGCACACACCUUGUUACAAGUCUUUUCACACAGGGACAGUACAUUUGUGGAGGUACAACACACUGGAUUUAUGUGUAAGUGUGUUGAGUUAAUGGAAGCUCUGCCCUGGAAAUGACAUUUGGUAGCAAUAGCAAAAGAAAACAAGGAAAGCUUUGAGCUGGAUUGGGAAACCUCAUCAGUUAUUCUAACACAUGGAUUCUCUAAAAUUGUCACAAACUGGUGAGAAGGUUCAACAUCUACUGCCAUGCCACCAACACGCACCUCUGAUGUCAUGGGCCAACAUAACAAAAAGGGAGGCACUGUUUUUGGAGCAGCCCUCAUAGAUCACCAUGUGUAGCAAAAGCUCAACAGAGAAUUCUCUGAUUCAGACAAAUGAGACAAAAAAAAUUGUGGUUUGUGCUAAACUGAGUGAAAGUGGUAAUGUGUGCAGUACUUGAUCCUGGAAUGUCCAUCCCUGCUAGUCUGCCAGCUUCUUUUUCCACCUGUGAAUCUCACUGCAUCCAUCUUUUCUCCAGACUUUGAGGAAGAGAUUGGAGGAAUUUAAAUAAGUAGGAGAGUUUAGUACCUUUUCUUAGGUUGGUUAUGGAGGGCUUUCAUUACUGGACAUUAAUUCAGACAGUGCAUAUUUACACUUGGCUGAAAUCUUCUGUUCGUAUAUUGAGAGACAACAGCCACAGGAACUUUUAAAAAAUACAAAUAAAUAAAUAAAUGCCAGUUUGUGGAUGGAAAAUUAAAUCCUAAAGACCAAUGUGGCAGCUGGCCAACUGGUAAUCAUGCUGAGCCUUCAGAAUUAUCCCUGGCAUUUAUGCACAAAGCAAGCAGAUGAUGCUUGCCAGGCAGGAGCUAGCAAACAAGCAGUACUCUGAGCAAAUACGAUACAGGGAGAAAAAAAAAAUCUACAGCAGCAAAGGGAAAGCUGUAAUUCCAGGACAUCAUUUUCAGCAGUGAUGUAUGCAGCAGCUUGCAGUAGUGGCAGUGAAGAAAAAUUCCAGAGAUGAAAAGGCUAGAACAACCCCUUAAUCUCCUUCAUACCUGCCCUGUGUGACAAGAAAGUCUCCCUUUGAAAUGAGAAGAGAUACAGCCUAGAAGAGGAAAGUUUGAGCAUAAAGAGAUUGGGCAACACUCAGAGGUAAGGUGAAGUCGGAACAAAGAAGGUUUCUGUUUAAGAUGCUGAACUGCGACUCAGAGGAACUGAAUUUUCUUCCUGCAUCCUUCCUCCUUUUCCUCUGGCAACUCACUUAAUCUUUGUAUGUCAGUUCCCCAACUGAAUAACAAAGCAGUAAUACUAAAAAAGCAUUUCUUUUGAUACUGGAGAGCAUUUAUUUGGUUUUGGUGGUGGUUUGUUGUUGUAGUUGUUGUUUUUUCCCUUGAAUCCUUUUUCAGAACAGAGGGAGGAAAUGAUACUGUGUAUAGCUAUAAGAGUAGGGUGGAGGUGGGGAAUAUACCCUUGCAAAAAAGAAUUGGUGACAAAAGGCUAAGAGUAGAGAUUUCUUAUCCAGGAUCAACACCAUCCAUCAGAACACUUAACGCACACAUAAAAAGGGCUUAGUCAGAGAAAAUGAUUUGUGCAAUUAAGAGCUAAUCUAAAUAGAGACCCUUAGGUAAUAUUGUAAUUAGAUAACACUGAGAGGUGAACUGCCUGUAUGGGGGCACUUGUGUCAAAGUGA
This is a long non-coding RNA of Lagopus muta (rock ptarmigan), 2030 nucleotides long. RefSeq lists it as uncharacterized. The transcript has 4 exons. Lineage: Eukaryota; Metazoa; Chordata; Aves; Galliformes; Phasianidae. The record is from RefSeq and is a predicted model, not a curated record.